AGCGAACGCUGGCGGCAUGCUUAACACAUGCAAGUCGCACGACCGGGUUUCGGCCUGGGAGUGGCGGACGGGUGAGUAUCGCGUAGGGAUUUGUCGUUGGGGUGGGGACGAACCUUGGGAAACGUGGGGCGUAAUACCGCAUGACGCCUGUGGGCCAAAGCUCGAGAGGGCGCCUGACGAGGAGCCUGCGUCCGAUUAGGUAGUUGGUUGGGUGAUGGCUGACCAAGCCUGCGAUCGGUAGCU
This 243-nucleotide ribosomal RNA is filed under the name uncultured bacterium. Its description in RNAcentral is "partial 16S ribosomal RNA". It matches the Rfam family "Bacterial small subunit ribosomal RNA", at positions 28 to 288 of the family's 1533-position model. The record is from RNAcentral.